UACGUAGGGUGCAAGCGUUGUCCGGAAUUAUUGGGCGUAAAGAGCUCGUAGGCGGUCUGUCGCGUCUGCUGUGAAAACUCAGGGCUUAACCCUGAGCUUGCAGUGGGUACGGGCAGACUAGAGUGCGGUAGGGGAGACUGGAAUUCCUGGUGUAGCGGUGAAAUGCGCAGAUAUCAGGAGGAACACCGGUGGCGAAAGCGACUCUCUGGACGGCAACUGACGCUGAGGCACGAAAGCGUGGGGAGCAAACAGG
This 253-nucleotide ribosomal RNA is filed under the name uncultured bacterium. Its description in RNAcentral is "partial 16S ribosomal RNA". It matches the Rfam family "Bacterial small subunit ribosomal RNA", at positions 524 to 776 of the family's 1533-position model. The record is from RNAcentral.